This 484-nucleotide ribosomal RNA is filed under the name uncultured bacterium. RNAcentral describes it as "partial 16S ribosomal RNA". It matches the Rfam family "Bacterial small subunit ribosomal RNA", at positions 30 to 507 of the family's 1533-position model. The record is from RNAcentral.
AUUGAACGCUGGCGGCAUGCUUUACACAUGCAAGUCGAACGGCAGCACGGGCUUCGGCCUGGUGGCGAGUGGCGAACGGGUGAGUAAUAUAUCGGAACGUACCCAGAAGUGGGGGAUAACGUAGCGAAAGUUACGCUAAUACCGCAUACGAUCUAUGGAUGAAAGCAGGGGACCGCAAGGCCUUGUGCUCCUGGAGCGGCCGAUAUCUGAUUAGCUAGUUGGUGAGGUAAAGGCUCACCAAGGCGACGAUCAGUAGCUGGUCUGAGAGGACGACCAGCCACACCGGAACUGAGACACGGUCCAGACUCCUACGGGAGGCAGCAGUGGGGAAUUUUGGACAAUGGGCGCAAGCCUGAUCCAGCAAUGCCGCGUGAGUGAAGAAGGCCUUCGGGUUGUAAAGCUCUUUUGUCAGGGAAGAAACGGUAGAGGCUAAUAUCCUUUGCUAAUGACGGUACCUGAAGAAUAAGCACCGGCUAACUACGUG